AGUGAACGCUGGCGGUAGGCCUAACACAUGCAAGUCGAACGGCAGCACAGUAAGAGCUUGCUCUUACGGGUGGCGAGUGGCGGACGGGUGAGGAAUACAUCGGAAUCUACUUUUUCGUGGGGGAUAACGUAGGGAAACUUACGCUAAUACCGCAUACGCCCUACGGGUGAAAGCAGGGGAUCUUCUGACCUUGCGCGAUUGAAUGAGCCGAUGUCGGAUUAGCUAGUUGGCGGGGUAAAGGCCCACCAAGGCGACGAUCCGUAGCUGGUCUGAGAGGAUGAUCAGCCACACUGGAACUGAGACACGGUCCAGACUCCUACGGGAGGCACCAGUGGGGAAUAUUGGACAAUGGGCGCAAGCAUGAUCCAGCCAUACCGCGUGGGUGAAGAAGGCCUUCGGGUUGUAAAGCCCUUUUGUUGGGAAAGAAAAGCAGCAGGUUAAUACCCCGCUGUUCUGACGGUACCCAAAGAAUAAGCACCGGCUAACUUCGUG
This 492-nucleotide ribosomal RNA is filed under the name uncultured bacterium. Its description in RNAcentral is "partial 16S ribosomal RNA". It matches the Rfam family "Bacterial small subunit ribosomal RNA", at positions 29 to 507 of the family's 1533-position model. The record is from RNAcentral.